AUUGAACGCUGGCGGCAUGCUUUACACAUGCAAGUCGAACGGUAACAGGUUAAGCUGACGAGUGGCGAACGGGUGAGUAAUGCAUCGGAACGUGCCCGGUCGUGGGGGAUAACGCAGCGAAAGCUGCGCUAAUACCGCAUACGAUCUAAGGAUGAAAGCGGGGGACCGUAAGGCCUCGCGCGAUCGGAGCGGCCGAUGUCAGAUUAGGUAGUUGGUGGGGUAAAGGCUCACCAAGCCAACGAUCUGUAGCUGGUCUUAGAGGACGACCAGCCACACUGGGACUGAGACACGGCCCAGACUCCUACGGGAGGCAGCAGUGGGGAAUUUUGGACAAUGGGCGAAAGCCUGAUCCAGCAAUGCCGCGUGCAGGAAGAAGGCCUUCGGGUUGAAAACUGCUUUUGUACGGAGCGAAAAGGUCUCCUCUAAUACAGGGGGCUCAUGACGGUACCGUAAGAAUAAGCACCGGCUAACUACGUGCCAGCCGCCGCAGUAA
RNAcentral lists this ribosomal RNA (493 nucleotides) under uncultured bacterium. Its description in RNAcentral is "partial 16S ribosomal RNA". It matches the Rfam family "Bacterial small subunit ribosomal RNA", at positions 30 to 523 of the family's 1533-position model. The record is from RNAcentral.